Anopheles arabiensis is the source of this 706-nucleotide long non-coding RNA. RefSeq lists it as uncharacterized. Lineage: Eukaryota; Metazoa; Arthropoda; Insecta; Diptera; Culicidae. The record is from RefSeq and is a predicted model, not a curated record. The transcript has 3 exons.
CGCUGCUUCGCGCUCUCAUGAAAAAGUGGUAGUGUGAUAUCAAGUUUGCAAGCAGAAGAACCGCGUGAAAUCAAGUUUGCCAGUCGAUGCGUGCUCGUUUUUUCUCUCGCAAAACCACUACGAAAAAACUAUUUGAAAUCCUAACACACGCACGAACGGAAGUGAGCACGGACCACGAUAGAAACAAUAUUCAAUUGAUUGGAGUGCCGAAAACAACAGAACAGGAGAGGAAAGAAGGCAGGAACGAUCCUCCAACGUGCUAGCGCCUGGUAGAGGAGAAGCGGCAGGAAGGUAGGGACGAUCAUCCAGCGCGCUAGCGCAGCAUGUGGGAGCAGCGAGAGGGAGACAAGCAGGAAGAAUUUUUAACGUGUGGACACCAUUCGACGAAGACAACGCUGGAUUAAAGGAAGAACGAAGAGAGAAGGCAGGCAAGACGGGUACGUGUGUAUCUCGCACGGGUUUUCGGCAGUGUGAAUUGUGUGAGUAUUGAAAAGUGUAUGUGUGAGUAGAGGUAAAGAGGUAAAAUAAAGAGCGAAUGUGUAGAACGGAAAAAUGAGAGAGAGUCUGUGUUUGUUUUGGGAGAGAGGAGAGAAUGAAAGAAAUUGAACAAUAAUGUAGCAUACAGAAACUGUAUGAUACACGCUGUCGCACCAUUGCAGAAACGUGCUUUUUAGUGCUGCUAAUGAGCACGAUUUGAUAACGUUUU